GACGAACGCUGGCGGCGUGCUUAACACAUGCAAGUCAAGGGGGCCCAGCAAUGGGCAACCGGCGAACGGGUGCGUAACACGUGAGCAACCUACCGAACUGUGGGGGAUAGCCGGCCUAACGGCCGAGUAAUACCGCAUACGCUCUCAGGGAGGCAUUUCUUUGAGAGGAAACCUACGGGACAGAUCGAGGGGCUCGCGGCCUAUCAGCUAGUUGGCGAGGUAACGGCUCACCAAGGCAACGACGGGUAGCUGGUCUGAGAGGACGAUCAGCCACACUGGGACUGAGACACGGCCCAGACUCCUACGGGAGGCAGCAGUGGGGAAUCUUGCGCAAUGCGCGAAAGCGUGACGCAGCAACGCCGCGU
This 365-nucleotide ribosomal RNA is filed under the name uncultured bacterium. Its description in RNAcentral is "bacterial SSU rRNA". It matches the Rfam family "Bacterial small subunit ribosomal RNA", at positions 28 to 402 of the family's 1533-position model. The record is from RNAcentral.